GGAACCUUUUGUCGGUCCUAGAAACACCGAUGAAUAAGGGGUGGGCAAGUUCUGGUGUCAGCCGCCGCGGUAAAACCAGCACCUCAAGUGGUCAGGAUGAUUAUUGGGCCUAAAGCAUCCGUAGCCGGCUCUGUAAGUUUUCGGUUAAAUCUGUACGCUCAACGUACAGGCUGCCGGGAAUACUGCAGAGCUAGGUAGUGGGAGAGGUAGACGGUACUCGGUAGGAAGGGGUAAAAUCCUUUGAUCUAUUGAUGACCACCUGUGGCGAAGGCGGUCUACCAGAACACGUACGACGGUGAGGGAUGAAAGCUGGGGGAGCAAACCGGAUUAGAUACCCGGGUAGUCCCAGCUGUAAACUAUGCAAACUCAGUGAUGCAUUGGCUUGUGGCCAAUGCAGUGCUGCAGGGAAGCCGUUAAGUUUGCCGCCUGGGAAGUACGUACGCAAGUAUGAAACUCAAAGGAAUUGGCGGGGGAGCACCACAAGGGGUGAAGCCUGCGGUUCAAUUGGAUUCAACGCCGGA
This 521-nucleotide ribosomal RNA is filed under the name uncultured archaeon. RNAcentral's name for it is "bacterial SSU rRNA". It matches the Rfam family "Archaeal small subunit ribosomal RNA", at positions 402 to 922 of the family's 1478-position model. The record is from RNAcentral.